Molecule: long non-coding RNA, 1589 nt
Organism: Apteryx rowi (Okarito brown kiwi)
Lineage: Eukaryota; Metazoa; Chordata; Aves; Apterygiformes; Apterygidae
Source: Ensembl
CCCGCCCCCUUGCGCCUCGCAGCCCCCUUCCCUCGCGGGGAUAGGACCACGCCGCCGUCACUCGCACACACCUCCUGCGUCCCGCUCGCCCCCGCCCCGGCCCCAGCCCGGCUCCUCCGCGACGAUUGGCAAUGGGACGGAGCCGUCAAGGCUGGGCGCCCUAUCUGAGAAGGGGGUGGCUCAGCCCGCCCCUCGAGCCGGGCACGUGACCGACACUGAUCUAUCUGCGGGCGGGUAAGCUGCGGGGGCGCCGCCGCGGCCCAGCGGCGCCGAGGCCCCGCGCGCGCUCCUGUGCCGGGGCCGCCGCCGGGCUCCGCCGGUGACGCAGGGUCCUGGAAACCCGGCCGCAGACACCGCAGCGAGGUGCCCGGCCGUCGUGGCUGGGAGGAGGGCCUGGAAGCGUUGAGUCUCGCUGCCGAAAAAUCGGACGAGGUCUACAGGCUGGGCACUGGCCUGCUGCUGUCCACCUCCCCAAGCACCGCAUCGCCUCUCUCCAGGCAGCGGGACAAGCCCCUGCCCGCACGCUGCAAUUCAUAUGGCUGUCAUGCACCCGCCAGCUUGUUUGACAGUCCCCCUGCCACCCACCCCACCCAUACGACUACCUCCUGACCUGUGUCACUGCUGUCGUGCUGCUACCACUCGCACGGUACCACUGGAUAUGCUGCCCUCACCAACGUAUCUCCACUGAUCUCCAUCCCAUUGCUUCUGCUUUGGGGAUGAAAUGAGGUGGCACAAAGCCAAAUGCCACAACCCCAAGCUUUAAUGCUACUCAAGAGUUAACCUUCUAUUUAAAAGCUUAACUGAGUAUUUUUAGAGACACACUAAUGAUCUUAGACAUUAAAAAAUGUCAAAUAACUGACAGCCAUGCAAACAGAGUUUUGUUUGUUAGUCAAAAUCAAAACUAGAUUUGUAUGUCAGUUAUUGGGAAAAAAAUAGCACUUUCCUAACUUUCAUGACAUAAGAGGACUGAAACAGAAUUUAAAUUGAUCACAGCACAUUGUCACUUCUCAUAUAGUAUACACUAUUUAAGUCUCUUGUAAUGCAUUAGCAGGCCCGGUUUUCCAAACAGAAACUGUACUAAGAGUACCCUGCAGCACUGGUUUGGUGCCCCCCAUCUCUGCAGUCAUUGGCAAGCAAGUUCCCCUGCAUACACGUUACAGUAUCCGCUAGCAAGUGCACAUCCAAGUGUUUUUUCCAAGCCACCCGAGGAAGCAGGAGAGCACUGCUGCAGAAUCUGUGAUCGGAGAAGAGGGUGGAUUCCCCCUGCCUCCACUUAAAUCUUUUUUGUUCUUCCCCAUUGACUUGGAGAGCCUGUUUUGGUGUGCUUCCUGUAAGUACAGACUCCUUUAGAAACUUUCCUGCUACGCUGAUAGUAUAACUAGGUUUGCCUUUUGCCUGAAAAUAGCUGAUUGGGAUUUCCACCCAACAGACCCGAGACCCCACUUUUACCCUUCUUUCUUUAUCUCCUUGUUUUACUCCCUCUGUUUUUGGGAACCUCUUUGUGUAUGUUUCUUUUUUUACUUAGCUAUGUAUUUUAAUGAAGCUGCACAAGCUUAGUCAUAUCACAAGACUAUUGCUCACUGCAUGAG